GACGAACGCUGGCGGCACGCUUAACACAUGCAAGUCGAACGAGAUCCUCGGAGCUUGCUCCGAGGGGACAGUGGCGAACGGGUGAGUAACACGUGAGAAACCUGCCCCGAAGACCGGGAUAACACCGGGAAACCGGUGCUAAUACCGGAUGCCCUCACCGAACCGCAUGGUCGGGUGAGGAAAUGGAUUCCGCUUCGGGAUGGUCUCGCGGCCUAUCAGCUUGUUGGUGGGGUAACGGCCCACCAGGGCUUCGACGGGUAGCUGGUCCGAGAGGAUGUCCAGCCACACUGGGACUGAGACACGGCCCAGACUCCUACGGGAGGCAGCAGUGGGGAAUCUUGCGCAAUGGGCGAAAGCCUGACGCAGCGAUGCCGCGUGCGGGAUGAAGGCCUUCGGGUUGUAAACCGCUUUCAGCAGGGA
Molecule: ribosomal RNA, 420 nt
Filed under: uncultured bacterium
Lineage: Bacteria
Description: bacterial SSU rRNA
Rfam family: Bacterial small subunit ribosomal RNA
Source: RNAcentral